RNAcentral lists this ribosomal RNA (433 nucleotides) under uncultured Lachnospiraceae bacterium. Its description in RNAcentral is "partial 16S ribosomal RNA". It matches the Rfam family "Bacterial small subunit ribosomal RNA", at positions 341 to 792 of the family's 1533-position model. Lineage: Bacteria; Bacillati; Bacillota; Clostridia; Lachnospirales; Lachnospiraceae. The record is from RNAcentral.
ACGGGAGGCGCAGUGGGGAAUAUUGCACAAUGGGGGAAACCCUGAUGCAGCGACGCCGCGUGAGUGAAGAAGUAUUUCGGUAUGUAAAGCUCUAUCAGCAGGAAAGAAAAUGACGGUACCUGACUAAGAAGCCCCGGCUAACUACGUGCCAGCAGCCGCGGUAAUACGUAGGGGGCAAGCGUUAUCCGGAUUUACUGGGUGUAAAGGGAGCGUAGACGGCUUUGCAAGUCUGAAGUGAAAGCCCGGGGCUCAACCCCGGAACUGCUUUGGAAACUGUAGAGCUAGAGUGCAGGAGAGGUAAGUGGAAUUCCUAGUGUAGCGGUGAAAUGCGUAGGUAUUAGGAGGAACACCAGUGGCGAAGGCGGCUUACUGGACUGUAACUGACGUUGAGGCUCGAAGGCGUGGGGAGCAAACAGGAUUAGAUACCCUGGUA